CUCUGAAAAUCCCACGCUUUUACUUUGCUAGCUUCUCUCAAAAUCCACCACUUUCACUUUGCCGCUUCUAUCAAAAUCGAUUCAAAAUCCAUGACUUUCACUUUCUCUCUUCUGCUAGCGAUAGAUAUCUAUCUCUUCGGUUGUUCUGCUCAAAUCCUUCGUUAUCUCAAUUUAUAGGGUUUCAAGAUGACAAGAUCUAGUCAGCCUCACAGAAGACAGUUCGAUUUCUGCCGGAUUCAAACCCUAUCUAAUGUUCUUCACUUUGUAUGGAUAGGGUUUGGAUCGAAUUGUUUGAGUCUGUCAAAUAAUCUUAAUCGAGAUUUUUUGAUAGAUUGAAGGUAAACAGCGCUUUCCAAUUCAACCUCUGGGUAAACAAGUUCGUUCUCACCUCUUUCAAUUCCUCACUAGAUCUACCAAAAAGAUGGGUCAAGCCGAGAAAUUGAUGAACCAUAUAAUGUAACUCAUCUUCACCUCCAAAAGCCUACACCGUCAGGCAAGAAAGUGCAAAAAAGAAAACUUUGAAGUGAAAAAAGCCAUCCAGAAAGGUCAUACUGGGAUCGUGUAUCUGGCUCGUUUCUCACAUACGGCACAGAAGAUGGUGUUUAAAGUGUUUUUCGAUUCUAGGCUAGUUGUUGGCUGUUUUACUUCCAGUGGUUAAGUACUGCUCUACUUUUGAAGUAUAUGGGAAGACAAUUGGUAGCUUUCUUCCCAAAGAUAGUCCCUUACGUCAGGAUCCUGCUUACUACAUAUUCAAAGAAGACACACCUCCUUGAAUGUUUGGCUUAGUUGAGAAGCAUAGAUGGUUGUAUGCAUGUGCCCAAUAAUUGAUAGAGGGGCUAAUAUACGGUGAACAAGCAAAUUUAUAUCACAACCGUUGUCUUGUGUUCGCGAUAGCAAGACCUUUUUAAUUGGAUUGGCCCAAGGAUGGAUUUAAAUCCAGGAAUUGAUGGUCCCAGUGAAGAUGUUUCAAGGGUUCUGGCAUGCUUCAGCAAUAACCUAUUGAGAAGGGAACCUCUGAAGCUCUGAAUGGUGGUGAAUCACAAAGAACCUUUAUUUAAAUCAAGGAUGCUAUUGAAGCUGUUCUUUUGAUGAUUCAUGUUAUCAAACGCGAUGCACUUCCUUGCGUGCUGAGCUUGUUGACCUAUUACCACAAGAGGCGCAUAAAAAGGAAGCCUGCUGGACAAAUUCAAGCAUCACUGCUGGAGAUAGAGAACACAUACAGGAUACACUUACUAUAGCAAUUCUUCCCAACAGCUCAUGGAUGCAAAUUAUAGUCCAAAAGCGGAGAGUAUAUCGACUUGAAGAAAACAACCUAGAAAUAGUUCCUAGAUUGUGUAGUCAUUUUCGUUUGCAACUUUUGUAGAUAGGUUUCGGUUAGAAAUGUGUCUUUAGUAUUUCAAUUGAAAACUUACGUAUGGAUUUUUGGUUAAUGUCAUUUGGUUUUAGAUUUU
Molecule: long non-coding RNA, 1451 nt
Organism: Helianthus annuus (common sunflower)
Lineage: Eukaryota; Viridiplantae; Streptophyta; Magnoliopsida; Asterales; Asteraceae
Exons: 7
Source: RefSeq, a predicted model, not a curated record